UUAUUAGAGAGUUUGAUCCUGGCUCAGGACGAACGCUGGCGGCGUGCCUAACACAUGCAAGUCGAACGAACAUACUAGCAAUAGUAAGUUAGUGGCGGACGGGUGAGUAAUACAUGAGUAACCUGCCUUAUACAGGGGGAUAACACUUAGAAAUGGGUGCUAAUACCGCAUAAUAACUUAGUAUGGCAUCAUACUAGGAGGAAAGGAGAAAUCCGGUAAAAGAUGGACUCAUGUUCGAUUAGCUAGUUGGUGGGGUAAAGGCCUACCAAGGCAACGAUCGAUAGCCGAACUGAGAGGUUGAACGGCCACAUUGGAACUGAGAGACGGUCCAGACUCCU
Molecule: ribosomal RNA, 338 nt
Filed under: Clostridiales bacterium
Lineage: Bacteria; Bacillati; Bacillota; Clostridia; Eubacteriales
Description: bacterial SSU rRNA
Rfam family: Bacterial small subunit ribosomal RNA
Source: RNAcentral